CACUUAGCAGCUCCUCCAGGAUGUGUGGCUGCUGAGUUUGCUCAUUAGCAUUUCAUAGUCUGCAGUAAGCAAGUGCAGCCACCAGGGGGCAAGAUGCACCUUUAACCCUGGCCUUACUGAAUACCAGAGGGUCCUGGUCUGGUCCUUGAAGGUGCAUCUGGAACUUCACAUCUCAGGAUAUACAGACCAGCCCUGCAGAGCAAGCAAGCUGAAAUAUCUACUGUUUCCAAAAUCUCCUAGAAUUCCCCACCCCCAUCCUCUCCGUUCAUACCAACUCAAACCAAUGCAUCUGGACCUUUGCACAGGGCUGGGAGUCUCUCACUCAACAACAGAAGAAAUUAUUACACGACUGCAAAAUUGGAAGAUCAAACAGGAGAAUUUUUCCCUUAAGAAAAAGAAAGAAGAAAUCUUGCAGACGUCCAGAAAAAGUCACUCAAGCUUCCAGGAAGCAACAUACACAUAUUUAUCCUCUAGGGGGCAGGAGUUCUCUGUUUCUGGUGGAAAACACUUCACUGGUCCGGAGUUUUGCCUCUUGGAAUGCUAGGGAAACUUCACUUAGCUGGGUCUUAAUUUGAACAGAAAGAAAACAUUCCAGCUUCGAAUUAGAGAAAAGUCUAACCCAGAAACUAGAAGUACUCAUUCCAGAAGACAGAGGCACAAAGCUCUUUCAAUCUGCUCUGACUGCUGGUGAGCUCACAGAUGCAGCUCCACAUGUGUGCUCUCAAGAAUGCCUGGCAAAAGCCACAAGAUACAACCAUCCACGACAGCAGGAAGCAGCAUGGCAGGUUUUUGCUUCGGAUGCCCUGUUGAUGAUCUAGCCAGCUGUUCCUUGAUGCCCUUUUCUGAGCUGGUUAGAAACAUCCCAGAGAUAAGCAAGACCCAAAUAAAUUGUCUGUCACUGCCUGGGUUCUCUUUCAAAAACAGUGCCAAACACAAGGAGCUGCCUUCAGAAAACUCGUUUGGGAGAUGAUUGCAGGGUGCAAGAGUGAGGAACUUGUACUGUGCCAGCCAUUCCUGUCUGCUGGGGACUGGGGAGUUUGCUAAGAUUUGAGACUUUCACUGCUAAAAUUGGAGAAGUCUCAAAUAAAUGAGGGAUGAGUUGGUUGUGCAGGAACUGGGUGCUGUACUCAAAGGAGGUAAGCUGGGCAAGGCUGGGCUCAUGUGUUAUUAGAUCCCACAGCAUAGAGGGCACCUCAGAAUUGUAUGCCCGCAGGAUGGACGUGGGGAGAUUUGUCCACUGGUUUCCAUUCUCCAUUAGUCAGUUUUGCUCCUUGGGGGCGUUCAUUCUGCCCACACUCAGGGUUCCUGUGCCUGAGUGCCUGUGAACUCCCACAGGCAUUUCCCACUGAGGCUUCAGAGAAGCCCUGGGUGGAAAGUGAGAGAAACACAAUACAACUGAGGAAUAGCAUUGUGACACCUACACAAACCCGAUUGCUGCAGCAAUGGCAUUUGGACUGAUGGGGUGAAGUGGGCCCAAGAAGCGUCCUAUGCAUGAAGGUUAAUUUCACCUUCUUUUGGUUGGCUUAUCGUUGAGCUCAGUAUGGGAUCAUCAACCUCUGCUCUUAGCUUCCAGUUAAUUUAAAUGAAAUAAAGUUCUCAGAUUUUUUAUUUAAAUAAGAAAUCCAGCAAUGUAGUUUCAUUUCUCCUUGUGUAUAUGGAGGAAGGUGCCGUGCCAAUGAUCCCCUUCUCACUAAAAAAGGAAAAUUUGAUGAGACAAGCAAUCAAAUCACAUGCUUGUUGGAGAUUAAAAAGUCUUACUAGCCCUGCACAGUGAUGAAUGCCUAUAACCCCAGAGACUUGGGAGGCUAAGGCAGAAGGAUCUUAAGUUUGAGGCCUUGGCAAAUUUGCAAGAUCCUGUCUCAAAAUUAAAAAUAAAAAAGGCCUGGGGUUGUAGCUCAGUGGUACGGUGUCCCUGGGUUCAAUCCCCAUUACAAAUAACAACAAAAAAGCCUUACUUUUGGUGUUACAUAAUACAACCUGGUUAUGUCUUACAAACAUCACUUGCAAAAUUCCUUUUUGGAAAUCAUAUUUGCAAGGAUGAUUAAUGUGUAUUUUCACUUCCAUAAUUCUUUCAAACCUUUUAUUAUGGAUAAUUUUAGAAAUAAACAUAAGUAGAAGAGCAUAAUGAAGAGCAUCACUCUUUUUCCAUCUCCUUCAGUUAAGAAGGCAAAUGGCAGCAAGCAAUAGAAAGCCUAUUUAUAUGAUCCUAAAUAAAUAACAGCACUGUUGGGAUCAAAUCACAUAAUGUCUAGACAUAUAUAGUCCAGGGCUGAUGGAGAAUUGAAUAAAAAUCUUCAAAAAUUAA
This is a long non-coding RNA of Marmota monax (woodchuck), 2305 nucleotides long. RefSeq lists it as uncharacterized. The record is from RefSeq and is a predicted model, not a curated record. The transcript is spliced from 2 exons. Lineage: Eukaryota; Metazoa; Chordata; Mammalia; Rodentia; Sciuridae.